UCCCUUUUUUAUUGGUUUUUACACAAAUCUGUUCUCCCGCAUCCGUGAUCCGAGUCGAAGGGCUCAGCAUCCUGUUUCAGAGUCACAGAAUCGUUGGGGUUGGAAGGAGCUCUGGAGAUCAGCCAGUCCCACCGCCCGCCAAGGCAGGGCCACCUGGCGCAGGUGACACAGGAACGCGCCCAGAUAUUGCGGUUUCAUGAUGAAGCAUGAAGCACACUUCAGAACUGGCCUCAGUAAAGAGACUUUCAUUUAAUUAGCAGUUUCUCUGGUACCAUCUGAGACAGCAAGACAUGUCACCAAAAUGACUUCUGUCUCUAAUUCAGUCAUUUAUUUUGGGAUCAUUUCUUCAGGAUAGGAAGAAGAAAACACAAUCCUGUAUGCAUGUCAAAAUGGACUAGAAAUUAAGAGAUGAAAAAACAACCCUGAUUUUCCUACACCUCUGCAUAAAUCUUGACAUUUUACUCCACUUCGUUCUCCUCACAGUCAUUUACUUUUAUGGCCUCUUUUGCCCGAGAGAUAAACAAUCUCUGCUGAUUUAUCUAGUCACCUCUGCAAAGCAUUAAUAUUGAUAGAGUGAAAACAUGUCAAGCAAGUUCCUUUCCACAUAAGGAAUUUUCCCCUGAAGAAGAGGAGCAAUAGAAAUGCUGGGCUUUUCGUGUUCAUUUAUAAGCUGUUUAGGAAGGGAGGAGCACACUUUCUGUCAAUGGUACUGGAGAAAGCCCAGCAGGUUCGAUUCUGGCAUGGAAAUCUUACUGGCAGCAGUGGCUUUGUUCUUCUCCAUCCAGCCCAGAGCAGAUGAAAUGGCUGUGCCAUGCACAUUCCAGAGGAAUGCAAGAGGCACAGCACUGAGAACUCUCACCCAGCACAGCCUGCUCUGCAGCUGCCACUCAUAACCAAGACUCUGUUGCUAAAUAAAAAUGUCUAAUAAUGGA
Long non-coding RNA from Vidua chalybeata, 932 nucleotides. RefSeq lists it as uncharacterized. The record is from RefSeq and is a predicted model, not a curated record. The transcript has 2 exons. Lineage: Eukaryota; Metazoa; Chordata; Aves; Passeriformes; Viduidae.